Molecule: long non-coding RNA, 329 nt
Filed under: Ananas comosus (pineapple)
Lineage: Eukaryota; Viridiplantae; Streptophyta; Magnoliopsida; Poales; Bromeliaceae
Description: long non-coding RNA (ACOM_LNC005912)
Source: RNAcentral
AAACUUUAAAAACCCCCCCUGUAGUUUCGUAGUUUCUCACUUUACCCCCCGUGGUUUGAAAUGUAUCAAUUUACCCCCCUGUGAUUUCUUUUUUCUCUUUUUUUUAUCAAUUUUAUUAUUUUUUUUUUCUUAAAUCAGUGAUAAAGUUAAAAUUAAAAAGUACUAAAGUGAAUAUUUGAUAAAUCUAGAUGGGUAUCUGAAAUUUUUUGUAUAUAAUUUAAUGAAAUAUUAACGAAAAAGCUACCGAAAAGAUAAAAACGAAACCACAUGGGGGCAAUUUGAUACAUUUUAAACCACAGGGGGGCAAAGUGAGAAACUACGAAACCACG